CGCUGGUGGUGAACGCGGAAAGCCCCGCUUCCCGUGCGGGAUGCGGGGCUUUGCUCGAUCCGAGUGGUCGGAUCACCCGUCGCCGGCGG
This 89-nucleotide transfer RNA is filed under the name Micromonospora qiuiae. RNAcentral's name for it is "tRNA-Gly". The record is from RNAcentral. Lineage: Bacteria; Bacillati; Actinomycetota; Actinomycetes; Micromonosporales; Micromonosporaceae.